RNAcentral lists this ribosomal RNA (1381 nucleotides) under uncultured bacterium. Its description in RNAcentral is "bacterial SSU rRNA". It matches the Rfam family "Bacterial small subunit ribosomal RNA", at positions 8 to 1379 of the family's 1533-position model. The record is from RNAcentral.
AGAGUUUGAUCCUGGCUCAGAUUGAACGCUGGCGGCAGGCCUAACACAUGCAAGUCGAACGGUAACUGGAAACAGCUUGCUGUUUCGCUGACGAGUGGCGGACGGGUGAGUAAUGUCUGGGAAACUGCCUGAUGGAGGGGGAUAACUACUGGAAACGGUAGCUAAUACCGCAUAACGUCGCAAGACCAAAGAGGGGGACCCUCGGGCCUCUUGCCAUCGGAUGUGCCCAGAUGGGAUUAGCUUGUUGGUGGGGUAACGGCUCACCAAGGCGACGAUCCCUAGCUGGUCUGAGAGGAUGACCAGCCACACUGGAACUGAGACACGGUCCAGACUCCUACGGGAGGCAGCAGUGGGGAAUAUUGCACAAUGGGCGCAAGCCUGAUGCAGCCAUGCCGCGUGUAUGAAGAAGGCCUUCGGGUUGUAAAGUACUUUCAGCGGGGAGGAAGGGAGUAAAGUUAAUACCUUUGCUCAUUGACGUUACCCGCAGAAGAAGCACCGGCUAACUCCGUGCCAGCAGCCGCGGUAAUACGGAGGGUGCAAGCGUUAAUCGGAAUUACUGGGCGUAAAGCGCACGCAGGCGGUUUGUUAAGUCAGAUGUGAAAUCCCCGGGCUCAACCUGGGAACUGCAUCUGAUACUGGCAAGCUUGAGUCUCGUAGAGGGGGGUAGAAUUCCAGGUGUAGCGGUGAAAUGCGUAGAGAUCUGGAGGAAUACCGGUGGCGAAGGCGGCCCCCUGGACGAAGACUGACGCUCAGGUGCGAAAGCGUGGGGAGCAAACAGGAUUAGAUACCCUGGUAGUCCACGCCGUAAACGAUGUCGACUUGGAGGUUGUGCCCUUGAGGCGUGGCUUCCGGAGCUAACGCGUUAAGUCGACCGCCGGGGGAGUACGGCCGCAAGGUUAAAACUCAAAUGAAUUGACGGGGGCCCGCACAAGCGGUGGAGCAUGUGGUUUAAUUCGAUGCAACGCGAAGAACCUUACCUGGUCUUGACAUCCACGGAAGUUUUCAGAGAUGAGAAUGUGCCUUCGGGAACCGUGAGACAGGUGCUGCAUGGCUGUCGUCAGCUCGUGUUGUGAAAUGUUGGGUUAAGUCCCGCAACGAGCGCAACCCUUAUCCUUUGUUGCCAGCGGUCCGGCCGGGAACUCAAAGGAGACUGCCAGUGAUAAACUGGAGGAAGGUGGGGAUGACGUCAAGUCAUCAUGGCCCUUACGACCAGGGCUACACACGUGCUACAAUGGCGCAUACAAAGAGAAGCGACCUCGCGAGAGCAAGCGGACCUCAUAAAGUGCGUCGUAGUCCGGAUUGGAGUCUGCAACUCGACUCCAUGAAGUCGGAAUCGCUAGUAAUCAUGGAUCAGAAUGCCACGGUGAAUACGUUCCCGGGC